GGUAGCAAUAACAGGUCCGUGAUGCCCUUUAGAUGCUCUGGGCUGCACGCGUGCUACAAUGUUAGGAUCAAUAGGACUGCGAGCCUGAGAGGGUGCGCUACUCUUAUAAUCCCUAACGUAGUUGGGAUUGACGUUUGUAAUCAGCGUCAUGAACCAGGAAUCCCUUGUAAAUGUGUGUCAACAACGCACGUUGAAUACGUCCCUGCCCUUUGUACACACCGCCCGUCGCUCCUACCGAUUGGAUGACUCGGUGAAAUCACCGGAUGCUUACGAGCAGAAAGUGAUUAAAUCACGUUAUCUAGAGGAAGGAGAAGUCGUAACAAGGUAACGGUAGGUGAACCUGCCGUUGGAUCAGUU
This 357-nucleotide non-coding RNA is filed under the name Trichomonas vaginalis G3. Its description in RNAcentral is "Eukaryotic small subunit ribosomal RNA". It matches the Rfam family "Eukaryotic small subunit ribosomal RNA", at positions 1446 to 1831 of the family's 1831-position model. Lineage: Eukaryota; Parabasalia; Trichomonadida; Trichomonadidae. The record is from Rfam by way of RNAcentral.